GAUGAACGCUGGCGGCGUGCCUAAUACAUGCAAGUCGAGCGAACAGACGAGGAGCUUGCUCCUCUGAUGUUAGCGGCGGACGGGUGAGUAACACGUGGAUAACCUACCUAUAAGACUGGGAUAACUUCGGGAAACCAGAGCUAAUACCGGAUAACAUGUUGAACCGCAUGGUUCAACAGUGAAAGACGGUCUUGCUGUCACUUAUAGAUGGAUCCGCGCCGCAUUAGCUAGUUGGUAAGGUAACGGCUUACCAAGGCAACGAUGCGUAGCCGACCUGAGAGGGUGAUCGGCCACACUGGAACUGAGACACGGUCCAGACUCCUACGGGAGGCAGCAGUAGGGAAUCUUCCGCAAUGGGCGAAAGCCUGACGGAGCAACGCCGCGUGAGUGAAGAAGGUCUUCGGAUCGUAAAACUCUGUUAUUAGGGAAGAACAAAUGUGUAAGUAACUAUGCACGUCUUGACGGUACCUAAUCAGAAAGCCACGGCUAACUACGUG
RNAcentral lists this ribosomal RNA (497 nucleotides) under uncultured bacterium. RNAcentral's name for it is "partial 16S ribosomal RNA". It matches the Rfam family "Bacterial small subunit ribosomal RNA", at positions 28 to 507 of the family's 1533-position model. The record is from RNAcentral.